GUUAAUGUAGCUUAACAUAAAGCAAAGCACUGAAAAUGCUUAGAUGGAUUGUUAGAAAUCCCAUAAACA
Molecule: transfer RNA, 69 nt
Filed under: Leopoldamys edwardsi (Edwards's long-tailed giant rat)
Lineage: Eukaryota; Metazoa; Chordata; Mammalia; Rodentia; Muridae
Description: tRNA-Phe
Rfam family: tRNA
About the family: Transfer RNA (tRNA) molecules are approximately 80 nucleotides in length. Their secondary structure includes four short double-helical elements and three loops (D, anti-codon, and T loops).
Source: RNAcentral